AGUACGGCCGCAAGGUUAAAACUCAAAUGAAUUGACGGGGGCCCGCACAAGCGGUGGAGCAUGUGGUUUAAUUCGAUGCAACGCGAAGAACCUUACCUGGUCUUGACAUCCACAGAAGAAUCCAGAGAUGGAUUUGUGCCUUCGGGAACUGUGAGACAGGUGCUGCAUGGCUGUCGUCAGCUCGUGUUGUGAAAUGUUGGGUUAAGUCCCGCAACGAGCGCAACCCUUAUCCUUUGUUGCCAGCGGUUAGGCCGGGAACUCAAAGGAGACUGCCAGUGAUAAACUGGAGGAAGGUGGGGAUGACGUCAAGUCAUCAUGGCCCUUACGACCAGGGCUACACACGUGCUACAAUGGCGCAUACAAAGAGAAGCGACCUCGCGAGAGCAAGCGGACCUCAUAAAGUGCGUCGUAGUCCGGAUUGGAGUCUGCAACUCGACUCCAUGAAGUCGGAAUCGCUAGUAAUCGUGGAUCAGAAUGCCACGGUGAAUACGUUCCCGGGCCUUGUACACACCGCCCGUCACACCAUGGGAGUGGGUUGCAAAAGAAGUAGGUAGCUUAACCUUCGGGAGGGCGCUUACCACUUUGUGAUUCAUGACUGGGGUGAAGUCGUAACAAGGUAACCGUAGGGGAACCUGCGGUUG
Molecule: ribosomal RNA, 641 nt
Filed under: Salmonella enterica subsp. enterica serovar Typhimurium
Lineage: Bacteria; Pseudomonadati; Pseudomonadota; Gammaproteobacteria; Enterobacterales; Enterobacteriaceae
Description: bacterial SSU rRNA
Rfam family: Bacterial small subunit ribosomal RNA
Source: RNAcentral